RNAcentral lists this ribosomal RNA (33 nucleotides) under Thanatephorus cucumeris. RNAcentral's name for it is "partial 18S ribosomal RNA". Lineage: Eukaryota; Fungi; Basidiomycota; Agaricomycetes; Cantharellales; Ceratobasidiaceae. The record is from RNAcentral.
UCCGUAGGUGAACCUGCGGAAGGAUCAUUACAU